This 202-nucleotide ribosomal RNA is filed under the name Staphylococcus aureus. RNAcentral describes it as "partial 16S ribosomal RNA". It matches the Rfam family "Bacterial small subunit ribosomal RNA", at positions 327 to 523 of the family's 1533-position model. Lineage: Bacteria; Bacillati; Bacillota; Bacilli; Caryophanales; Staphylococcaceae. The record is from RNAcentral.
CGGUCCAGACUCCUACGGGAGGCAGCAGUAGGGAAUCUUCCGCAAUGGGCGAAAGCCUGACGGAGCAACGUCGCGUGAGUGAUGAAGGUCUUCGGAUCGUAAAACUCUGUUAUUAGGAAGAACAUAUGUGUAAGUAACUGUGCACCAUCUGACGGUACCUAAUCAAAAGCCACGGCUAACUACGUGCCAGCAGCCGCGGUAA